This 63-nucleotide transfer RNA is filed under the name Mycopsylla fici. Its description in RNAcentral is "tRNA-Glu". The record is from RNAcentral. Lineage: Eukaryota; Metazoa; Arthropoda; Insecta; Hemiptera; Carsidaridae.
ACUUUUAUAGUUUAAAUUAAAAACUUUAUUUUUUCAAAAUAAAAUUGAUAUUUUCUAAAAGUA